This 24-nucleotide non-coding RNA is filed under the name Arabidopsis thaliana (thale cress). Lineage: Eukaryota; Viridiplantae; Streptophyta; Magnoliopsida; Brassicales; Brassicaceae. The record is from RNAcentral.
AGAAACUGCAUCUCUGGUUUCCCC